AGUGAACGCUGGCGGUAGGCCUAACACAUGCAAGUCGAACGGCAGCACAGGAGAGCUUGCUCUCUGGGUGGCGAGUGGCGGACGGGUGAGGAAUACAUCGGAAUCUACCUUUUCGUGGGGGAUAACGUAGGGAAACUUACGCUAAUACCGCAUACGACCUACGGGUGAAAGUGGGGGACCGCAAGGCCUCACGCGAUUAGAUGAGCCGAUGUCCGAUUAGCUAGUUGGCGGGGUAAUGGCCCACCAAGGCGACGAUCGGUAGCUGGUCUGAGAGGUUGAUCAGCCACACUGGAACUGAGACACGGUCCAGACUCCUACGGGAGGCAGCAGUGGGGAAUAUUGGACAAUGGGCGCAAGCCUGAUCCAGCCAUACCGCGUGGGUGAAGAAGGCCUUCGGGUUGUAAAGCCCUUUUGUUGGGAAAGAAAUCCUGUCGAUUAAUACUCGGUGGGGAUGACGGUACCCAAAGAAUAAGCACCGGCUAACUUCGUG
This 490-nucleotide ribosomal RNA is filed under the name uncultured bacterium. RNAcentral's name for it is "partial 16S ribosomal RNA". It matches the Rfam family "Bacterial small subunit ribosomal RNA", at positions 29 to 507 of the family's 1533-position model. The record is from RNAcentral.